This 255-nucleotide ribosomal RNA is filed under the name uncultured bacterium. RNAcentral's name for it is "partial small subunit ribosomal RNA". It matches the Rfam family "Bacterial small subunit ribosomal RNA", at positions 26 to 286 of the family's 1533-position model. The record is from RNAcentral.
AGGACGAACGCUGGCGGCGUGCUUAACACAUGCAAGUCGAGCGGAAAGGCCCUUCGGGGUACUCGAGCGGCGAACGGGUGAGUAACACGUGAGCAACCUGCCCUUAGCUCUGGGAUAGCUCCGGGAAACCGGAAUUAAUACCGGAUACGACCUAGGCCGACAUCGGCCGUGGUGGAAAGUUUUUCGGCUAGGGAUGGACUCGCGGCCUAUCAGCUAGUUGGUGGGGUAAAGGCCUACCAAGGCGACGACGGGUAG